This 301-nucleotide ribosomal RNA is filed under the name uncultured bacterium. RNAcentral describes it as "partial 16S ribosomal RNA". It matches the Rfam family "Bacterial small subunit ribosomal RNA", at positions 509 to 808 of the family's 1533-position model. The record is from RNAcentral.
CAGUCGCCCGGGAAAACGUAGGGUGCAAGCGUUAAUCGGAAUUACUGGGCGUAAAGCGUGCGCAGGCGGUUAUAUAAGACAGAUGUGAAAUCCCCGGGCUCAACCUGGGAACUGCAUUUGUGACUGUAUAGCUAGAGUACGGCAGAGGGGGAUGGAAUUCCGCGUGUAGCAGUGAAAUGCGUAGAUAUGCGGAGGAACACCGAUGGCGAAGGCAAUCCCCUGGGCCUGUACUGACGCUCAUGCACGAAAGCGUGGGGAGCAAACAGGAUUAGAUACCCGCGUAGUCCCUGUCUCUUAUACC